AUUGAACGCUGGCGGCAGGCCUAACACAUGCAAGUCGAGCGGAUGAAGGGAGCUUGCUCCUGGAUUCAGCGGCGGACGGGUGAGUAAUGCCUAGGAAUCUGCCUGGUAGUGGGGGAUAACGUCCGGAAACGGGCGCUAAUACCGCAUACGUCCUGAGGGAGAAAGUGGGGGAUCUUCGGACCUCACGCUAUCAGAUGAGCCUAGGUCGGAUUAGCUAGUUGGUGGGGUAAAGGCCUACCAAGGCGACGAUCCGUAACUGGUCUGAGAGGAUGAUCAGUCACACUGGAACGGAGACACGGUCCAGACGCCUAAGAGAGGCAGCAGUGGGGAAUAUUAGACAAUGGGCGAAAGCCUGAUCCAGCCAUGCCGCGUGUGUGAAGAAGGUCUUCGGAUUGUAAAGCACGUUAAGGUGGGAGGAAGGGCAGUAAGUUAAUACCUUGCUGUUUUGACGUUACCAACAGAAUAAGCACCGGCUAACUUCGUG
RNAcentral lists this ribosomal RNA (484 nucleotides) under uncultured bacterium. Its description in RNAcentral is "partial 16S ribosomal RNA". It matches the Rfam family "Bacterial small subunit ribosomal RNA", at positions 30 to 507 of the family's 1533-position model. The record is from RNAcentral.